UUAAACUCUUUUACGAGUGGUUUCAGACAGAUAUGCUUAUGAAUUGUACUCUGUACAUCUUGCAUGUAUAAGUCGGGUAUGAAAGGCUGAUCACCUUCAUUACCAGUUGGUCCAGAUAUACUAUUGUUCCUGUUCAAUACUUGUUCAGUCAAAAUUUUGUUCAUGCUAAUUCACAAAUACAUUGUGAAGGAUAGCCAGCUUAUUAUUCAAACUCUUUCCAUCAUGAUAUAUCUUUACCUUGUUUUUAAACUUGCUGG
This 257-nucleotide long non-coding RNA is filed under the name Panax ginseng (ginseng). RNAcentral describes it as "long non-coding RNA (PGIN_LNC000170)". Lineage: Eukaryota; Viridiplantae; Streptophyta; Magnoliopsida; Apiales; Araliaceae. The record is from RNAcentral.